This 482-nucleotide ribosomal RNA is filed under the name uncultured bacterium. Its description in RNAcentral is "partial 16S ribosomal RNA". It matches the Rfam family "Bacterial small subunit ribosomal RNA", at positions 28 to 507 of the family's 1533-position model. The record is from RNAcentral.
GAUGGACGCUAGCGGCAGGCCUAAUACAUGCAAGUCGAACGAGAUUAAGAGGCUUGCUUCUUAUGAAAGUGGCGCACGGGUGCGUAACGCGUAUGCAACCUACCUUAAUCAGGGGGAUAGCCCGAAGAAAUUCGGAUUAAGACCGCAUAAAAACACAGGAUAGCAUUAUCCAAUGUUCAAAUAUUUAUAGGAUUAAGAUGGGCAUGCGUGUCAUUAGCUAGUUGGCGGGGUAACGGCCCACCAAGGCGACGAUGACUAGGGGAUCUGAGAGGAUGACCCCCCACACUGGUACUGAGACACGGACCAGACUCCUACGGGAGGCAGCAGUAAGGAAUAUUGGUCAAUGGAGGGAACUCUGAACCAGCCAUGCCGCGUGCAGGAAGACAGCCCUCUGGGUCGUAAACUGCUUUUAUUCGGGAAUAAACCUUUCUACGUGUAGGAAGCUGAAUGUACCGAAGGAAUAAGGAUCGGCUAACUCCGUG